This 253-nucleotide ribosomal RNA is filed under the name uncultured bacterium. Its description in RNAcentral is "partial 16S ribosomal RNA". It matches the Rfam family "Bacterial small subunit ribosomal RNA", at positions 524 to 776 of the family's 1533-position model. The record is from RNAcentral.
UGCGUAGGUGACAAGCGUUGUCCGGAUUUACUGGGCGUAAAGAGCGCGCAGGCGGUCGAUCAAGUCGAGUGUGAAAGCCCCCGGCUCAACUGGGGAGGGUCAUUCGAUACUGAUCGACUCGAAGGCAGGAGAGGGUAGUGGAAUUCCCGGUGUAGUGGUGAAAUGCGUAGAUAUCGGGAGGAACACCAGUGGCGAAGGCGACUACCUGGCCUGUUCUUGACGCUGAGGCGCGAAAGCUAGGGGAGCAAACGGG